Molecule: ribosomal RNA, 305 nt
Filed under: uncultured bacterium
Lineage: Bacteria
Description: bacterial SSU rRNA
Rfam family: Bacterial small subunit ribosomal RNA
Source: RNAcentral
UCCUACGGGGGGCAGCAGUGGGGAAUAUUGGGCAAUGGGCGCAAGCCUGACCCAGCAGCGCCGCGUGAAGGAAGAAGGCUUUCGGGUUGUAAACUUCUUUUACGAGGGAAGAGCAGAAGACGGUACCUCUUGAAUAAGCCACGGCUAACUACGUGCCAGCAGCCGCGGUAAUACGUAGGUGGCAAGCGUUAUCCGGAUUUACUGGGUGUAAAGGGCGUGUAGGCGGGACUGCAAGUCAGAUGUUAAAACCACGGGCUCAACCUGUGGCCUGCAUUUGAAACUGUAGUUCUUGAGUACUGGAGAGG